RNAcentral lists this ribosomal RNA (1484 nucleotides) under Neophonus bruchi. RNAcentral's name for it is "eukaryotic LSU rRNA". It matches the Rfam family "Eukaryotic large subunit ribosomal RNA", at positions 64 to 1119 of the family's 3401-position model. Lineage: Eukaryota; Metazoa; Arthropoda; Insecta; Coleoptera; Staphylinidae. The record is from RNAcentral.
AUUAACGAAGAUUCCCCUAGUAACUGCGAGUGAAGAGGGAACAGUCCGGCACUUAGUCCGGCGGCCGGUCUGGCCGCACGGAGAUGCAGUGCUUAAGGUGCGGGCCGUCGGGCCGGUGCACGUCGCUCGUCCAAGUCCUUCUUGAAGGGGGCCGACACAUCCGCAGAGGGUGCCAGGCCCGUGGCGACGGCUCCGGCGUGCCGGCUUAGGCCCGGCCGCAGAGUAGAGUUGCUUGAGAGUGCAGCUCGAAAUCGGGUGGUAAACUCCAUCCAAGACUAAAUACGAUCACGAGACCGAUAGCGAACAAGUACCGUGAGGGAAAGUUGAAAAGAACUUUGAAGAGAGAGUUCAACAGUACGUGAAACCGUUCAGGGUAAAACCCGUGAAAGCGGACUGGACGAACGGAAAGAUUCAUCGGGCGCGGCCGCGCGGCCGGUCCGUGUCGGGCGCGUCGCGUCGCCGAGGGUCGUUCGCGGCCCGAGGUGCGCGUCGCCCCGCCGGUGCCGCGCUGUGUGCGCGCGCCGCGCCGGUGCACUUCUUUUCCCAGUAGAGAGUCGCGUCCGUCGGAGGGGCCGGCCUAAGGCCCGGGGUGUUGAGAUCGCGACGGCGACGUACUUGUGCGUCGACUGUCGCGAAGCCCCGGUGACCCGGCCGUGCCGUGCCGGCGGACAGCAGUCGUUGCGACGGAGGGCGCCUUCGGGCGCGUGCGGACGCCUAGGCGGCCGCGUACGUCGGCCGGUGGUCGGUGCGCCUCGUGCGUCCGCCCCGGCCACGUGUCGCGGUUUGCUCGCUAGUGCGUUUCGAUCCGCGGUGCGCCUUCGGGCGCGCCCCCUCUGCGCGCAGCGCGGCUCGCCGUGUCCGCGAUCACCGGACCCGUCUUGAAACACGGACCAAGGAGUCCGGCAUGCCCGCAAGUCUAAGGUGCGGCGUCGCGCUUCGGCGCGGCGCGAACCAACACCGCUAGGCGCAAUGAAAGUGAAGGUCGGCGCCGACACGGCAUCGGCGCCUGACCGGCGGGACGAUGCGUGUCCUCGCCGCCGUCCGUUUCGGCGGGCGACGGGAGGCGCGCCGCAGUCCCGAGGUGUCUCAGUCUCAUCGCGAGACGAGGCGCACUCGGAGCGGGCACGCCGGGACCCGAAAGAUGGUGAACUAUGCCCGGCCAGGACGAAGUCAGGGGAAAUCCUGAUGGAGGUCCGCAGCGAUUCUGACGUGCAAAUCGAUCGUCUGAGCUGGGUAUAGGGGCGAAAGACUAAUCGAACCAUCUAGUAGCUGGUUCCCUCCGAAGUUUCCCUCAGGAUAGCUGGCGCUCGCGCCCGAAAGCAAAAUGAGUCUCAUGCGGUAAAGCGAAUGACUAGAGGUAUUGGGGUCGAAACGACCUCAACCUAUUCUCAAACUUUAAAUGUGUGAGAUCGCCGGCCUUCUCGAGGCCGUCGCCGUCCGGCAACGGGCGGCGCUCCCCCUGAGGCCGGCCGAUCGGAUCAUAG